This 125-nucleotide ribosomal RNA is filed under the name Pteropus vampyrus (large flying fox). The record is from RNAcentral. Lineage: Eukaryota; Metazoa; Chordata; Mammalia; Chiroptera; Pteropodidae.
GUCUAUGGCCACGCCGCCCCGAACAAGCCCAAUCCUGUCUGAUCUUGGAAGCUAAGCAGGGUCGGGCCUGGUUAGUACUUGGAUGGGCGACCACCUAGGAAGACACUACCUAGGUGCUGUAGACG